This 707-nucleotide ribosomal RNA is filed under the name uncultured Lachnospiraceae bacterium. RNAcentral's name for it is "bacterial SSU rRNA". It matches the Rfam family "Bacterial small subunit ribosomal RNA", at positions 28 to 735 of the family's 1533-position model. Lineage: Bacteria; Bacillati; Bacillota; Clostridia; Lachnospirales; Lachnospiraceae. The record is from RNAcentral.
GAUGAACGCUGGCGGCGUGCCUAACACAUGCAAGUCGAGCGAAGCACUUUGCUUAGAUUCUUCGGAUGAAGAGGAUUGUGACUGAGCGGCGGACGGGUGAGUAACGCGUGGGUAACCUGCCUCGUACAGGGGGAUAACAGUUAGAAAUGACUGCUAAUACCGCAUAAGACCACAGCACCGCAUGGUGCAGGGGUAAAAACUCCGGUGGUAUGAGAUGGACCCGCGUCUGAUUAGCUAGUUGGUAAGGUAACGGCUUACCAAGGCGACGAUCAGUAGCCGACCUGAGAGGGUGACCGGCCACAUUGGGACUGAGACACGGCCCAAACUCCUACGGGAGGCAGCAGUGGGGAAUAUUGCACAAUGGGGGAAACCCUGAUGCAGCGACGCCGCGUGAGCGAAGAAGUAUUUCGGUAUGUAAAGCUCUAUCAGCAGGGAAGAAAAUGACGGUACCUGACUAAGAAGCACCGGCUAAAUACGUGCCAGCAGCCGCGGUAAUACGUAUGGUGCAAGCGUUAUCCGGAUUUACUGGGUGUAAAGGGAGCGUAGACGGAUGGGCAAGUCUGAUGUGAAAACCCGGGGCUCAACCCCGGGACUGCAUUGGAAACUGUUCAUCUAGAGUGCUGGAGAGGUAAGUGGAAUUCCUAGUGUAGCGGUGAAAUGCGUAGAUAUUAGGAGGAACACCAGUGGCGAAGGCGGCUUACUGGACA